GGUGGUAAUGCCGGAUGUUCCACAUGAUCGCAUGUGAUUGUGGGAAAGAUUCUAUCGGCGUGGGAUGGGGUCGCGUCCUAUCAGCUUGUUGGUGAGGUAACGGCUCACCAAGGCUUCGACGGGUAGCCGGCCUGAGAGGGCGACCGGCCACAUUGGGACUGAGAUACGGCCCAGACUCCUACGGGAGGCAGCAGUGGGGAAUAUUGCACAAUGGGCGCAAGCCUGAUGCAGCGACGCCGCGUGAGGGAUGGAGGCCUUCGGGUUGUAAACCUCUUUUGUUUGGGAGCAAGCCUUCGGGUGAGUGUACCUUUCGAAUAAGCGCCGGCUAACUACGUGCCAGCAGCCGCGGUAAUACGUAGGGCGCAAGCGUUAUCCGGAUUUAUUGGGCGUAAAGGGCUCGUAGGCGGCUCGUCGCGUCCGGUGUGAAAGUCCAUCGCUUAACGGUGGAUCUGCGCCGGGUACGGGCGGGCUGGAGUGCGGUAGGGGAGACUGGAAUUCCCGGUGUAACGGUGGAAUGUGUAGAUA
Molecule: ribosomal RNA, 525 nt
Filed under: Bifidobacterium bifidum
Lineage: Bacteria; Bacillati; Actinomycetota; Actinomycetes; Bifidobacteriales; Bifidobacteriaceae
Description: bacterial SSU rRNA
Rfam family: Bacterial small subunit ribosomal RNA
Source: RNAcentral